Molecule: ribosomal RNA, 396 nt
Filed under: uncultured bacterium
Lineage: Bacteria
Description: bacterial SSU rRNA
Rfam family: Bacterial small subunit ribosomal RNA
Source: RNAcentral
UUAGUGGCGGACGGGUGAGUAACGCGUGAGGAGCUGUCCUAUGCAGGGGGACAACAGCUGGAAACGGCUGCUAAUACCCCCAUAAGCCGAGAGGUAAAAGGAUCAAUCCGGCAGAGGAGGUACUCGCGUCCUAUCCAGCUAGUAGGUGAGGUAACGGCUCACCUAGGCGAAGACGGGUAGCCGGCCUGAGAGGGCGAACGGCCACACUGGAACUGAGAUACGGUCCAGACUCCUACGGGAGGCAGCAGUGGGGAAUAUUGGGCAAUGGGGGAAACCCUGACCCAGCGACGCCGCGUGGGUGAAGAAAUCCUUCGGGAUGUAAAGCCCUGUUGUAUGGGAAGAGCGGAAGACGGUACCAUACGAGGAAGCCCCGGCAAACUACGUGCCAGCAGCUGC